RNAcentral lists this long non-coding RNA (1030 nucleotides) under Bemisia tabaci. Its description in RNAcentral is "lncRNA ENSSSA1UGG005884". Lineage: Eukaryota; Metazoa; Arthropoda; Insecta; Hemiptera; Aleyrodidae. The record is from RNAcentral.
CACAAUUGGAGGUAAAUUCACAGAAAGUCUUAAGGCGUUGAGCAGUUUAGUUUUCUGGUAAAAAAAAUGAAACAUGAGAGAAAAUUAGUGAAUGUAAAAUUUAGCUAGGCUGGCUUGGGUUUUAUUUGUCCAAACACAACUUUGCAAAAAACAACUCAGCACUCGCAAGAGAAAGUGUGAGGUGGCUGUGGAAGGAAUCAAAUUAAAACUUUAAAGCUUUGUAAAUAAUUGAAAAAAGUAUGCUUUCUAACAAGAAGAUUUUAGGUUUAAUUUAAACCUAAAGAAUGUUCUGUGCCUUAUGUUUCAUUCCGACAAUGAAAUAUUUCUGUGUAGACUUUAUUUUAGGUUCAAAGAUGAAGUAGUCUAAAUUUAAAGGGGGCCAGGGGAACCUGUUGGCAAAAUUUCCCAAAAAUAAUCCCAUGGAUCGAAACUUUGAACAGGCUCAACCAUUAGAAUGUUAAGCCUAUUUAAUGGUAAAAUUGGUGAAUUCCACCUCCUUUUUUUGCAGAAGUUCAGUGCACCAAUGAAACAGAAGAAUUCCUAAUCGAACUCAUCAGUCAGCUUGCCGCAAAAUUACGAACAGCUGCAGCAUGUGUACAGAUCAAGUGCAUCAGAUUCUCUCAUUUUGAUAUAGAUGAUGCUUUACUUAACAAACAUUGGAGUUUACAACACUUCCUGGACUCAGUUUAGAUGGUAAUACAAAGUACCAAAAAAUUAGAGAUACUAUAUCUCCUACGCUAGUCAAUUUGCAAUCAGAAGAAACAUCCACGUAAGCUGACUUUUCAAAUGGAAAAGAAAGAAGAGAAGUGCAAGAGAAUCAGAAGAAACUUGUGCAAGAGUCAGUCCACUACCAAAGGUACGAUUUAUUCCUCUUUUAUGCUCUCUUUUUUGUCCGUGGUAUCCAGUUAAUUUACCUAUUUAGGAAAGAUGAUUUAUUGUGUUUUUUACACUCUCAGAAUUUGAAGAAUGAUUUUUCUUUAGCUACUUUUUUAUAACUUAUUUCCUCUAGUUAGGUUUCAUGUUGCAAGAA